UAGGGUUCGAUUCCGGAGAAGGAGCCUGAGAAACGGCUACUACAUCUACGGAAGGCAGCAGGCGCGUAAAUUACCCAAUCCUGACUCAGGGAGGUGGUGACAAGAUAUAACGACGCAAUUUAUUUUGUGAUUGUAGUGAGGGUAUUCCAAACCGAACCACUAGUACGAUUAGAGGGCAAGUCUGGUGCCAGCAGCCGCGGUAAUUCCAGCUCUAAUAGCGUAUAUUAAAGUUGUUGCAGUUAAAAAGCUCGUAGUUGGAUUUCAAGGCGUGUAUACUCUUUUUGAGUAUGCUACCUACUAGUCUCUGACUGUUACUGUGAGAAAAUUAGAGUGUUUCAAGCAGGCUUUUGCAAGAAUACAUUAGCAUGGAAUAACGAAUGUGUCUAGAAUCUUGGUUAAUUCUAGAUUGCGAUUAAUAGGGACAGUUGGGGGCAUUAGUAUUUAAUUGUCAGAGGUGAAAUUCUUGGAUUUGUUAAAGACUA
This 482-nucleotide ribosomal RNA is filed under the name Balantioides coli. Its description in RNAcentral is "SSU rRNA". It matches the Rfam family "Eukaryotic small subunit ribosomal RNA", at positions 371 to 938 of the family's 1831-position model. Lineage: Eukaryota; Ciliophora; Litostomatea; Vestibuliferida; Balantidiidae. The record is from RNAcentral.